Molecule: ribosomal RNA, 253 nt
Filed under: uncultured bacterium
Lineage: Bacteria
Description: partial 16S ribosomal RNA
Rfam family: Bacterial small subunit ribosomal RNA
Source: RNAcentral
UACGUAGGGUGCGAGCGUUGUCCGGAAUUAUUGGGCGUAAAGGGCUCGUAGGCGGUUUGUCGCGUCGGGAGUGAAAUCAUCUGGCUUAACUGGGUGCUUGCUUUCGAUACGGGCAGACUAGAGGUAUGCAGGGGAGAACGGAAUUCCUGGUGUAGCGGUGGAAUGCGCAGAUAUCAGGAGGAACACCGGUGGCGAAGGCGGUUCUCUGGGCAUUACCUGACGCUGAGGAGCGAAAGCAUGGGGAGCGAACAGG